Molecule: ribosomal RNA, 497 nt
Filed under: uncultured bacterium
Lineage: Bacteria
Description: partial 16S ribosomal RNA
Rfam family: Bacterial small subunit ribosomal RNA
Source: RNAcentral
GACGAACGCUGGCGGCGUGCCUAAUACAUGCAAGUAGAACGCUGAAGAGAGGAGCUUGCUCUUCUUGGCUGAGUUGCGAACGGGUGAGUAACGCGUAGGUAACCUGCCUGGUAGCGGGGGAUAACUAUUGGAAACGAUAGCUAAUACCGCAUAAAAUUGAUUAUUGCAUGAUAAUUAAUUGAAAGAUGCAACUGCAUCACUACCAGAUGGACCUGCGUUGUAUUAGCUAGUUGGUGAGGUAACGGCUCACCAAGGCGACGAUACAUAGCCGACCUGAGAGGGUGAUCGGCCACACUGGGACUGAGACACGGCCCAGACUCCUACGGGAGGCAGCAGUAGGGAAUCUUCGGCAAUGGGGGGAACCCUGACCGAGCAACGCCGCGUGAGUGAAGAAGGUUGUCGGAUCGUAAAGCUCUGUUGUAAGAGAAGAACGGGUGUGAGAGUGGAAAGUUCACACUGUGACGGUAUCUUACCAGAAAGGGACGGCUAACUACGUG